CGGACGUGAGUAACCUGCCUCUAAGAGGGGAAUAACAUUCUGAAAAGAAUGCUAAUACCGCAUAACAUAUAUUUAUCGCAUGGUAGAUAUAUCAAAGAUUUAUCGCUUAGAGAUGGACUCGCGUCCGAUUAGUUAGUUGGUGAGGUAACGGCUCACCAAGACCGCGAUCGGUAGCCGGACUGAGAGGUUGAACGGCCACAUUGGGACUGAGACACGGCCCAG
This 222-nucleotide ribosomal RNA is filed under the name uncultured bacterium. Its description in RNAcentral is "partial 16S ribosomal RNA". It matches the Rfam family "Bacterial small subunit ribosomal RNA", at positions 112 to 334 of the family's 1533-position model. The record is from RNAcentral.